AGUAUAUAAGGUAUGCUAAGGGGGCGUCGCGCUGUUGCAGGCUAUCGUGUGUUAACCUGUACUUCUGCCGCAGAGUUUGGAGAAAGCGGCAGCAGAUUGUGCUGCCGCAGGCUGGAGCCUGGAACCUGGAGCCCUGGAGCCUUGAAUGGUGUGUGGUGGCAAUGGAGAGAGGCAGCUGGCAGUGACAGCUGCUCCGUGCUUGGCUACAGGAAGGAAAGAAGGAGAAAGCACCUACCAUAGGCUGGAGGCUAGAGCCUGCAGGACUGCGGCUGGCCUCGCUGGCUCGCCUCCCUGGCUGGCCUCGCUGUGGUUGGUGGCAGCGACGGAUACUGCAGCUGGCCAGAGUGUAGAAAGGCAAUGGGGUAGCAAGGUAAGCUGUCAUCAGUUGGAGGUAAGCAGAAGACAGUAGAGAGUACAGAGCCCUGGACUGUGACUCAGAGGAUGAGCACCAGAUCCAGUUUGCUGUGCCACAGUGCUCAGCAUGAUGUAAACUCCACUGCGGACAGAUGCAGCCAAGAAGACAGGUCACCUUCUACCAACUCCCACCAGAGGAAACUCUUCCCCAGGACCCAGUACGUUGGCCCUCUGACCCUGCACACAGCACAUGAUGCUGAGGUUCAGUGCUGAACAAGAGCUACUGAGAGCCAGAGAUUCACUUCUUCCAUGGAGCCCCACUCAUGGAUGGAGGCUCUGUCCCGGGUCCAGUGCCACUGGGAACACUGGGUCUCUGGUUUCUAGCUCUGUCCUAUGGCAGAGGUUCCACCCCACAAUAACCGAAGUGCUGAGAAGGUGGGAAGCUCCUGCCCGACCCUCCACUGAGAGCUCAGCUCCUAGGCUGAGGAAUAAAACAGCUCAACUUUGUCUACACCUGCAGAACCUUGUUUAGGAGCUCUGUCCCAGGAGAGAGGGGGCAAUGGAAUUCAGUCAUAAAAUAUGAUCCUUAAUUAGUCCUAAAAAUCCUAACUUCAGUAACAGCAGAUUGUGGACAAAUUGAAAGCCUGCCAGUGCUCUCAAAAACAGUGGAUGGUGUGGUGGAAAGCCCUUGGAAGGAGACGGGUGGAUGCAUGGGAGAUGCAGGCUACACUGCAGGGCUGCUGGCUUGCAGGAGAGAACCGAGGACAAGGGAGAGCUGGGGAAAGUUCUCUUGUGGUUGAAAUAAAUGCCAGACACUCUUCAAUGGAGCCCAUGUUUGUUUGGUUCAGUCUGUGAAGUAAUUCAAACCUCAGUGCAUGAUUGAAAAUAGUACAAUUUUCCAUCUGCAAGUGGCAGAGCUCAACAUCUGGGUCUGGUCAGGAGAGAGACAGAGAGAGCCCAGCCCAAACCACUGACACCUGGGGUUGACAGUGCUGCUUACAGAUGUGUUCCUUUGAUCUUUGAGACUGGUUUCUCUCACUUAGCAUAAUGCCUGGAGUUCAACUGUAAUGGUUUGUGAAUCGAUCAUUUGAUAUUUUUUAUUGCUGAUGGAUUCAAUUUAUAGAUGCUUCCUAGUUUUUUCACCUACUCAAAUUUUGAGACAUUUAUGUUAUUUUUCAUUUCUAACACACACACAUGUAAUAUCUUGAAUAUUUGAAUAGAGGUUUUGUGUGAAAAUAAGAUUGUAUUUCUCUGAAGCAAAAUUCAAGAGUGGGAUAUUUAGGUCAUGUGUUAAGGGCAUGUUUGAUUGCAGAAAAAACUAAAAAUUAUUUUCC
Long non-coding RNA from Homo sapiens (human), 1688 nucleotides. Ensembl annotates it as long intergenic non-protein coding RNA 1193. NCBI's taxonomy places the organism in Eukaryota, Metazoa, Chordata, Mammalia, Primates, Hominidae. The record is from Ensembl.